UUUUUUUUUUUUUGUAAAGUUACAGACAAUAUUUUAGUUUUUGUGGAUAAAGUCUGAAUCAAAACAACUCAACUAUGAAGUUGUAGCAAGGGAACAGCCACAGACGAUGACAAAUCAAUUUGAUUGACAAAUCAACAGGUGUGACUGAGCCAAUGAACAUCCAUUUACAAAAUCAAAGGGUGGCUAGACUUAGUCCAUGGGCUAGAAUUUGCUGACCCCUGAUAUAAAUAACAGCUCUCACCAUGACUGUACAAUGCAAAUGUCCACAGUCUAGUGUGUUUGCCAAUAGACUAUCACAGUCGUCAUAUAUAAACACCAACAUCAUUUAUCUUCAUUAAUGAUGUUUCAUCCUUUCUCCUUCCACCUGUGCUUGUAAGGAAAUGAAAUUGAAUAGACGUCUACAGAUAGAGCGGACUUUUCACCUUGGUGUGAUAGGGCAGAGCUGAGCAGAGGCAAAGCCUUUGAGAGCUCAUACUUGCAUUUUAUGAGGUCUUCUCUAGAUAAGACUAAAAUCCAGUCAUAUUUAAAUAUACAUAUACAUCCAGUCUCCGAUUGGAUAUCAACUGUUCUGUUGAUUACAUACUUAUUCAUAGACCCACAAACAGUAAGGAAUGGCUACACCAAAAAAAGAGCGACGCUGAAAAGCUGAAGUCAGAGAGGAAGCUAUCAGAAGUCAGUUUAUUAAAGGCCUUCACCCCCAAAUUGGAGAUGGUUUAUAAUAAAAACAAUUAAACAAAGUGCAGCUAAUGUAUAGCUAAUGUAUAGCGACAGUAGGUGACAGUAGGGUUGAAGGAAAACAGCCAUCUUCACACACUGUGGGUUGGAAUGCUCCUUGGUGUAGCCUUUCAAGAGGGCAAUGUGUCAGUACAAAACUUUUUUUUUUAAGUUUUAUUAAAGUAUAGCUGACUUACAAUGUUGUGAUAAUGUCUGCUAUGUAACAGAGUGAUUCAGUUAUACACGUACACACAUCUAUUCUCUCUCAGAUUCUUUUCCCAUAUAGAUUAUGAUAGAAUAUUGGGUAGAGUUCUCUGUUCUGUAUAGCAGGUCCCUGUUGGCCAAUCAUUUCAUGUACCAUAGCGUGCAUAUGACAAUCCCAAGCCCCCAUCCAUCCCUCCCCUCUCACCUGUCCCUUUUGGUAGUCAUAAGUUUUUCAAAGUCUGUGAGUCUCUUUCUGCUCUGCAAAUAAAUUCAAUUGUAUCCUUUUUUUUUAAGAUUCCACUUAUAUGUAAUAGCAUAUGAUAUUUGUCUUUCACUGUCUAACUUCACUUAGUAUGAUCAUUUCUAGGUCCAUCCAUGUUGCUGCAAAUAGCAUUAUUUCAUUCUUUUUUAUGGCUGAGUAAUAUUCCAUAGCAUCAAAACUCUUAAAAGUGCUUUAGCCUCUCAACCAACGUUUCCAUAUCUAGGAAUUUAUCCUAAGGAAUAAUCAGAAACCAAAGAUUAUGUUUAGAGAUGUUUAAUGUUACAGUAAUCAUAAUAGUGAACUGUUGGAGACAAUCUAAAUUACCAAAGAUUUAAGACUGGUUAAAUAAAUUACUGUGUUGUAAAAAUCCAUGCAACAAUUAAAAUAACAUUGUAGAAUAAUUUUUAAUGGCAUGGAAAUGCUAAUUUUUUUUAACAGAUGAGAGGUAGUUUGUAAAGUAAUACUUCAAUUGUGGUGUCAACUAAAAAAAGUAUAUAUUUAUUUUGGCCACAGCUGUGGCAUAUGAAAAUGGCUGAUGAUGCCACAGUCACAUCAACAUGGGAUCUGAGCCGCAUCUGUGACCUAUGCUGUAGCUUCCAGCAAAGCUGGAUACUUAAGCCACUGAACAAGGCCAAGGAUUGAACCUGCAUCUUCAUAGAGUCAAUGGGUCCUUAAUCCACUGAGCCAUAAUGGGAACUCAUAAAAAUAUAUUUUAAAAGAUACCAAAAUAUUAACAAGGGGCAGGGAUAAUUAUUAGGAUUAUAGAUGAUGCAAACAUGUUUAGACCUCUCUGAUUUUUCAAAACUUCUCCAAUUAAGUUUUGAAAUAAAAAAGAAAAAUGUAGACUUUAUUAAAAAUCAAUAUUGUGAUGAACCAGAGUCAGAACUGAUUUAAUUUUGUUGUUGUUUGGUGGUAUUUGUUUGUUUGUUUUUAGCGGCACCCAUGGCAUGUGGAAUUUCCUGGGUCACAGCCGUGAUCCAAGCCGCUGCAAUGACAAUGCCAGAUCUUUAACCCACUAAGCCAAAAGAGAAUUCCCAAACUGGAUUUUUAAAAAAGGGAAUGGACAAUCUCCUUAGGUAUCUAAGAGUACAAUUUUCAUACCAAGAGCCACCCAGCAUCAAUCUAAUAUUAAAAUCUCCUGCAGCUACUGAGUAGUGGUAAGUCCUGCUCAGGUGACGCCAUAUCGACUUGAUUAGGAAUUCAACAAUUUUCCUUCUGGUCCAGGAUCAAGUCUUAGUGUUGAGCGUAUUUCAUAACUCAUCAUCCCAGUUUCCACAACUAUAAGAAAAAAGAGCUAAUCAUCUUUGCUAAGUUUACUCCCGAAGGGUGUCUGUUGAGCAUGAUAAAGAUGCAAAAAAGAAAAAAGACAGAAUUUUAAAAAAAGUUCCUCUACCUCAGUCAAUAGUUAUGUAAUAUCAUAUAUACUAUAUAUCUUU
Molecule: long non-coding RNA, 2616 nt
Filed under: Sus scrofa (pig)
Lineage: Eukaryota; Metazoa; Chordata; Mammalia; Artiodactyla; Suidae
Description: lncRNA (ENSSSCG00005018892.1)
Source: RNAcentral